Molecule: long non-coding RNA, 1278 nt
Organism: Phragmites australis (common reed)
Lineage: Eukaryota; Viridiplantae; Streptophyta; Magnoliopsida; Poales; Poaceae
Exons: 3
Source: RefSeq, a predicted model, not a curated record
UUGACCCCGUCCCUUCGUAGCUAUUUUUUCAAAAAAAAACCCUGUCUCAGCCUGAAGACACCUCUUCCGUCGUCUCGCGAAGCGACGGCUUCGUCCCGUGCUCCGAUGCAGAGGAGACGACUCGAGCAGCGCUGUACGGGCCGUCUCCUCGUCUCGACGGUGCACGGAUCCCGGGCGCUCGCGCGCGCAGUUGAUGUUUGGGCGCGCGCGGGAGGGAGCAAUCCCGCCAAUUUCGUCUCCCUAUAUCACCGGUGAAGGCGACACAGCUCCAUUCUUCUUCCUCGUCAGGCACCCCAAACUUUGGCGGCCGCGAUGUUGAGCGCCUCGGCUAGGAAGAGCAAGCUAGCUGCUGCAAACAAGAAGAGCAAGGGCGCCCCGGCUGCUGCGUUGUCGGUGGCGGCGGCGGCGGUGUCGUCGUUCCCGGCGCACACCUUCGGUCGCGGAACUGUCUCGACGGCGGCGACCCGCAACCUCGGCAACGGCACGGCGACGCCUCCAUCCUCCAUUGAUAGAUCUGGUGGAGGUGCCUUCCCCGGCACAGCGACGGCUCCAUCAUCGAACAGUGGGUUUCCAUUCCCCCCUUUCACCAUCUACUGCUUGGUGGGAUUCGGCCGGCGUUGAUCCGGUUUCUCCUUCGUUUGUGCGUUCAGCAGCUUGGGAUCCAUCUUGGGAUAAAGACCCACGUCCACCUCGUGGGUUUAUGAGCUACUUUGGAAAUCAGCCACACAAUUUUCAUUUGGUUGGUACACCUGUUCACAACCAUGAAGGAAUUUCACCGGCAGAAGUAGAGAUAUUAUCUGAGCAGGAGCCUGAACUAGUUGACAGUGAUGGUGAAAUUGCCAGGACUGAGAAGCGGAUCAUGUGGACUGAGGAAGAGGAUGUUAGGUUGAUGAGCUCUUGGAUAGAAAAUUCAACAGACUCUUGUUGUGGCGCCGAUAGGGGUGGUAACCAAUACUGGGGCGAUGUUGUUGAACAGUGCAACAGGACGACCCCAUCUCAUAGGAAAAGGAAUGUGAAGCUAUCUAAAUAGAGGAUGGCAUUUUUCUGGUUAUCUGAAUGUUAUCUACCUGAUGCUGUGAUGAGUUGUCUACCUGAUGCUAUGAUGAGUAGCUACUAGUUUCUGAACAUGCUUCUAGUUACCUGAAUGCUACUAGUGAAGUGUUUCUCAGUUACCUGAAUGCUUCUAUGUUCUGAAAUGAGUAGCCUAUUUGUUCCACUGCUUCUAGUUAUCUGAAAGUUUCUGAAUGCUUCUAGUUAAGUUUCUGUGUGAACAUGUUG